This 402-nucleotide ribosomal RNA is filed under the name uncultured bacterium. RNAcentral describes it as "partial 16S ribosomal RNA". It matches the Rfam family "Bacterial small subunit ribosomal RNA", at positions 29 to 416 of the family's 1533-position model. The record is from RNAcentral.
AACGAACGCUGGCGGUAUGCCUAACACAUGCAAGUCGCACGAGAAAGUACUUCGGUAUGAGUAGAGUGGCGCACGGGUGAGUAACACGUAGGUGACGUUCCAAAUAGUGGGGGAUAACUCGAAGAAAUUCGGGCUAAUACCGCAUAUGUACGACGAACUUGAAUAUAGUCGUAGAAAGAAUGCCUCUACUUGUAAGCAUUCGCUAAUUGAUCGGCCUGCGUAGCAUUAGCUUGUUGGUGGGGUAAGUGGCCUACCAAGGCUACGAUGCUUAACGGAUCUGAGAGGAUGAUCCGUCACACUGGAACUGAGACACGGUCCAGACUCCUACGGGAGGCAGCAGUGGGGAAUAUUGCGCAAUGGGCGAAAGCCUGACGCAGCAAUACCGCGUGAGUGAGGAAGGCC